RNAcentral lists this ribosomal RNA (419 nucleotides) under bacterium. Its description in RNAcentral is "partial 16S ribosomal RNA". It matches the Rfam family "Bacterial small subunit ribosomal RNA", at positions 355 to 776 of the family's 1533-position model. The record is from RNAcentral.
UGGGGGAUAUUGCACAAUGGGCGAAAGCCUGAUGCAGCGACGCCGCGUGGGGGAUGAAGGCCUUCGGGUUGUAAACUUCUUUUGCUCUGAACAAGGCAUGCUAAUGGGUGUGUUGAGUGUAGGGGUUGAUUAGCGCCGGCUAACUACGUGCCAGCAGCCGCGGUAAUACGUAGGGCGCGAGCGUUGUCCGGAAUUAUUGGGCGUAAAGGGCUUGUAGGUGGCUGGUUGCGUCUGUCGUGAAAGCUCAUGGCUUAACUGUGGGUUUGCGGUGGGUACGGGCUGGCUUGAGAGCAGUAGGGGAGGCUGGAAUUCCUGGUGUAGCGGUGGAAUGCGCAGAUAUCAGGAGGAAUACCGGUGGCGAAGGCGGGUCUCUGGGCUGUUACUGACACUGAGGAGCGAAAGCAUGGGGAGCGAACAGG